Thalassophryne amazonica is the source of this 135-nucleotide long non-coding RNA. RefSeq lists it as uncharacterized. NCBI's taxonomy places the organism in Eukaryota, Metazoa, Chordata, Actinopteri, Batrachoidiformes, Batrachoididae. The record is from RefSeq and is a predicted model, not a curated record. The transcript is spliced from 4 exons.
UUCUACUCUGAAAGAAUAGUUGAACCAACUUAAAUGAAUUGUUUCAAUUGGUAACAUCUAAAUUGUUGAAGUUGUUUUGAACUUAAGUUAAUAAGUUAGAUCAAUUCCAACUUAGAAAGUUUAAACAAUCCAUUU